RNAcentral lists this long non-coding RNA (649 nucleotides) under Oryzias javanicus (javanese ricefish). RNAcentral's name for it is "lncRNA (ENSOJAG00000014658.1)". The record is from RNAcentral. Lineage: Eukaryota; Metazoa; Chordata; Actinopteri; Beloniformes; Adrianichthyidae.
AACAGGUCCUGGAAACAUGAAGCGAUCAUGUGACAGGAAAGCUGCAGCCCGCUUCAUUGGCUGAUCUUUGUGCUCCGUUUAAGAGUAGAAGAAGAAGAAGAAGGGCUCAAUCAAUCCUCAGGAGGACUGCUUUCUGCACCUGCUAUUGAUCCUGCAGUCAUUCUUCAUUGAUCACCCGCAGAGCCCUUUGGUGUGGAGCAGAUGCACCUGUGAGGGGAUGCUGCAGGCAGCUUUACCUUUCUCCAGUCAGCCAGGGAAAGGCGAGACACCUGAUGCCCUCCUCCAGGCACCGAGAACCACCGAAAGAUUCCUCAGGCCUGUGAAACCACCCGGCUGCGCUCAGGGUUCAAAGAUUCAACAAAUUCCAGGGCAGAUCUCAGGGGAGAGUUACUUUGUGAGCGACCACACAGGGCCAGAAAAACUCCAAAUAUGCUCGAAUCAGAGUCACAGAUUUAGAAGCAGGUAGUCUUCAAAAACUGUUUAAUUUGACAUCAUUACGGUGGAAAAAAGGUGAAAAUGAAAGGCUGAAUUUCCAUUCAGGUUGAUAGAAAUGUGUAAUUAGACAAUAAAAAGCCUAAAAGUCUCAGAACAUCAGUCAUUAAACGAAGCAAGAAUCUGGGAAACGUCCCAUUAGAGUGGAGGGCUGCAU